GGUAGACAUGACACGUUGCUAGAUGUCAAUCUUGUUUUAUAGGUUUGAUCAAAUUAAAGAGUUAAUUCGAUCACCAAUUAGAAAGGAUUCUAAUUGUUAAGUUCGGGUUCGCGCAGUUUGGACUUAAAUCGAUUAGAAGAGUUCUAAUCAAGUUGGGUCAACUCGCACUCACACCUAUUGCUGGGUCACACACAAGAAAACUUAUCAAGGGUCUAAUUGGAUUAGAUCAUGUUUGCAAGAUAAACAUCCUAGCAGGUGUUGCAAACCUUAGCUCCUAAUUCGAAUUGGAUUCGAAUCUGAUUCGAAUUGGAUUCGAAUCUGAUUCUUAAUUGAUCUAAUUUGAUUAGAUCAUAUUCUAAUAUGGGUUAGCCAAGAGUUGGCACCUAAUUGGCUUGGUUUGAGUCUAAUUGGAUUAGAUUUAAUAAAUCAUUCAAUUUAGACCGUUAGAUCUUGAUCUACCGUUGGAUGAAGACAUAAUGGAGAGUUGGUUUAACCCAAUUGGAUUGGGUUAGAGGAUGGCUACCAUAAUUGNN
This 533-nucleotide long non-coding RNA is filed under the name Phoenix dactylifera (date palm). RNAcentral describes it as "long non-coding RNA (PDAC_LNC011957)". The record is from RNAcentral. Lineage: Eukaryota; Viridiplantae; Streptophyta; Magnoliopsida; Arecales; Arecaceae.